GUAACAAAGGUUUCCGUAGGUGAACCUGCGGAAGGAUCAUUAAUUAUGUUAAAGCGCCUUACCUUAGGGUUUCCUCUGGGGUAAGUGAUUGCUUCUACACUGUGAAAAUUUGGCUGAGAGACUCAGACUGGUCAUGGGUAGACCUAUCUGGGGUUUGAUCGAUGCCACUCCUGGUUUCAGGAGUACCCUUCAUAAUAAACCUAGAAAUUCAGUAUUAUAAAGUUUAAUAAAAAACAACUUUUAACAAUGGAUCUCUUGGUUCUCGCAUCGAUGAAGAACGUAGCAAAGUGCGAUAACUAGUGUGAAUUGCAUAUUCAGUGAAUCAUCGAGUCUUUGAACGCAGCUUGCACUCUAUGGUUUUUCUAUAGAGUACGCCUGCUUCAGUAUCAUCACAAACCCACACAUAACAUUUGUUUAUGUGGUGAUGGGUCGCAUCGCUGUUUUAUUACAGUGAGCACCUAAAAUGUGUGUGAUUUUCUGUCUGGCUUGCUAGGCAGGAAUAUUACGCUGGUCUCAGGAUCUUUUUUUUUGGUUCGCCCAGGAAGUAAAGUACAAGAGUAUAAUCCAGUAACUUUCAAACUAUGAUCUGAAGUCAGGUGGGAUUACCCGCUGAACUUAAGCAUAUCAAUAAGCGGAGGAG
Molecule: ribosomal RNA, 640 nt
Filed under: Rhizopus arrhizus
Lineage: Eukaryota; Fungi; Mucoromycota; Mucoromycetes; Mucorales; Rhizopodaceae
Description: eukaryotic LSU rRNA
Rfam family: 5.8S ribosomal RNA (bases 236-389)
Source: RNAcentral